UUUUGACUUUUUUUAGUUGUUGUAUUUUUAUUUUUUACACAACACUCAUGUCGGGAAAAGGAUAAGGCGAAACUAACCUACGCCUGUUCUGAUAAAAACCUUAGGGCACUUAGCCUAGGGGGAUGCCUUGCUUGACUACACCCUCCUUCCUUGGUCCUGCCCUGCCCCGCACCUUCCACCAAUCCAUUUGUUUCUAUGGACAGAAAAGAGCAGAGUCUCUGGGCUCUCCGAUCAAGUCCAUUGUUAGCACUCACCGGCAACUGAAAAAGUAACGUUAGCCUACUCCAGCGCUUCAAAAGUUGUAGCUGUUUCUCGCAAAGAUUUACAACGUCCAGGAACCGAAAUUACACACAGAUUAUCUAUGGCACGUGGUGGUACUGAAUGCGAUAGCCCUGUGGUGCAUGGGGAGAGGGAAUGCCAUACCAUGCAGAAACUCAAAUUUGCACAGAAAACGAGUACAUUGCCUAUAAAGAGCCAUGCGUUGCCGACCUGCACCGAUGAUGAUGAUGGCCCUAUAGUUUGGGGGUUUUCUGAAGAACGACCCAUAAAUAAAAUAGGGAAAUCAAUAAAGCAGAGUCAGAAAUGGUAUAACAAUGCAGAGCUAAAGCAGAGCCUUAUGGAGACUGGGGUAGAGAAUGGUGUAGAGGAAAAGGCAAGCAUUGCAAAUGGGGAAAGUAGUGGAGGGAAUGUUGAAGAGUUGAAGGGGGAUAUAGCUGAAAAUGAACUGGAGGAAAAGAGUGAUGCUUCAGUUGUCCAAGUAGAGUAUGUGGAUGACAAAGCCUGUGUGGAGUACAGAGAGGGAGAUGGUCUUGCCACAGGGGGAGUAGAGGAAGUGAUUGAGAUAGCUGCUGAGGUGGAGUAUGAAGAUGGAAUGAGAGCUGAAAUGAAAGGGGGAAAGGGGACAGACCGUUAUGAGUCAGGGGAGGCGGUCGUCGCUGUGAUGAGUGAGAUUGAAGAGAAAGAUGCAGAGGGAAAACGCAUCCUAGAGAAAGAAGACAAGGUGGCUCCCAAGAGGAAGAAUAUAAGGAAACGCAGGCGAUCAGCCAAACUUCAACGUGACAAAGAGGCAAAUUCCAGUGCUUCCUUUGUAGAGACCGUUCUCUCAUGGCUGUUGACAGUUUUCCUAUGGUGGCAGGCCUUCUCAUCAAGGAAGUUCCCCUUGUCCAUAUGGAUUGUAUUUUUGAUAUUCAUGUCCAGGAUGCCAUGUGGCGUUGAGGGUCUCUUUAUUGAUACAAGCAACGAUCACUGGAACGUGUCAUGCAUUGCCUGUAAGAGUCCUGGAUGUGCUGUGAAUAAGAUAUGGUGUGGGGAGGAUGAGCUGUUGAAGGGUUUACAGAUUCCACCCUGCACAAGCAUUCCUCAAAAGCCGAAGACUGCUUGCCACCAUGAUGGUCGGGCAUAUGUGCUUAUGGAUAAGGAGGUCGAGUGUAAUAUGGAAUAUUUGGCUAACUAUGUCUCCUCUGAGAAGACAGAGUGUCCACCAUUGUUGGAGGCUAUUCAAGGUAUAUACAGCAACAACACUUUGUCACCCCCACCUCUCAAUGGUUCAUCAUCUGUAGGCGUCAUUGUCACUUCAGUUCUUUUGCCUGACCCUGCAGGGAUUAUCCUGUUACGAGGUGACAAGGCUCUGUUGGUGUCAUUGUCAUUGUCGUCUAUUUGAUCAGACACAAGCAUCAGGGUGCCAGUAGAAACCAAGAUGAAGAGACUGAGAUGAGCGCUCUGAACAACGGUACCAAUCAGAAUGGAGGUCCUGCCAAUAGAGACAAUAAUGAAGAGGUGGCUGUGAACAUGCUUGAGGGCCCCUGAGCCAUCGCCAGCAAUGAGGGCCCGUGGAGCUGUCUCUGGCAGCAUGGUUAGCAUAGAGACUAUGCUACUGAUUGUCCUGGCUCGUCUAUGAAGUGUUUUUUUGGUUUUUGUUAAUGUCAAAAAUGUGGCACAUGUUACAUUUUUAUUUCAAACACGCACUAUCUGUUAUGUAACAUGUUGAAAACACAAAUUUCAGUGUGGAACAUAGAUGGCAUAAGACCCUGAUUUUAUUGAUCAGUGAAAAGGGAAUGCAAAUUAUUAAGGGAACUGCUUUGGGGCUUCACAUUUUUUGCUUUUUUCCAUCCUAUGGCUUACUUGUUCAAAUGAAAGAAUGAUGAACAAUUGGGCUGUCAUUCAAUCAACCCUUAUGUUAAUUGCAGCAAUUAUAUAUGAAUUAUUCUA
Molecule: non-coding RNA, 2208 nt
Organism: Salmo salar (Atlantic salmon)
Lineage: Eukaryota; Metazoa; Chordata; Actinopteri; Salmoniformes; Salmonidae
Source: RefSeq, a predicted model, not a curated record